GACGAACCGUGCAAACGUUGUUCGGAAUCACUGGGCUUAAAGGGCGCGUAGGCGGCUCAUCAAGUCGGGGGUGAAAUACUUCAGCUUAACUGGAGAAGUGCCUUCGAUACUGGUGGGCUUGAGGGAGGUAGGGGUCUUUGGAACUUCUGGUGGAGCGGUGAAAUGCGUUGAUAUCAAGUGGAACACCAGUGGCGAAGGCGAAUCCCUGGAAAAUACCUGACACUGAGGCACGAAAGCUAGGGGAGCAAACAGG
This 253-nucleotide ribosomal RNA is filed under the name uncultured bacterium. RNAcentral's name for it is "partial 16S ribosomal RNA". It matches the Rfam family "Bacterial small subunit ribosomal RNA", at positions 524 to 776 of the family's 1533-position model. The record is from RNAcentral.